UACGUAGGGGGCAGGCGUUGUCCGGAAUUAUUGGGCGUAAAGGGCGCGUAGGCGGAUAAUUAAGUGGGAUGUGAAAGCCCCGGGCUCAACCUGGGAAUGGCAUUCCAAACUGGUUAUCUAGAGUAUAGUAGAGGUGAGUGGAAUUUCUGGUGUAGCAGUGAAAUGCGUAGAGAUCAGAAGGAACACCAGUGGCGAAGGCGGCUCACUGGACUAAUACUGACGCUGAGGCGCGAAGGCGUGGGGAGCAAACAGG
RNAcentral lists this ribosomal RNA (253 nucleotides) under uncultured bacterium. RNAcentral's name for it is "partial 16S ribosomal RNA". It matches the Rfam family "Bacterial small subunit ribosomal RNA", at positions 524 to 776 of the family's 1533-position model. The record is from RNAcentral.